AUGUAUUUGAUACACUGCUGAUUUUGCAGGUUUUCCUACUUACAAAGCAUGUAGAGGUCUGUAAUUUUUAUCAUAGGUACACUUCAACUGUGAGAGACGGAAUCUAAAACAAAAAUACAGCGACAGCCCCGAAACCUGAAGGAUCUGGAGAAGGUCUGUAUGGAGGAGUGGGCCAAAAUCCCUGCUGCAGUGUGUGCAAACCUGGUCCAGAACUACAGGAAAUGUAUGAUCUCUGUAAUUGCAAACACAGGUUUCUGUACCAAAUAUUAAGUUCAAACAAAGGUUUCUGUACCAAAUAUUAAGUUAUGCUUUUGUGAUGUAUCAAAUACUUAUGUAUAAUGUGAUUUUCUGGAUUUUUGUUUUAGAUUCCGUCUCUCACAGUUGAAGUGUACCUAUGAUAAAAAUUACAGACCUCUACAUGCUUCGUAAGUAGGAAAACCUGCAAAAUCGGCAGUGUAUCAAAUACUUGUUCUCCCCACUGUAUGCUACUGCUGACCAUGCUACAGCUGAUAACAGGUUGUACUAAUUUUGAGCCUUCUGUUAGCAUCCUGCUAGUCUAACAAUCUCACCCAGUACCAUAUUCAGCAUCUCUUCUCUUCCUGUUCCUCUAUGGAUGCUGUUCAAAUGUAUCUACUGUAUAUUGAUGUAUAAAAUGUACAUGAAUGUGUUAUUCCAUCCAAAUGCUGGUUGUAAUGUUUUCUACACUGGGGUAAUCCUCAGCAGGCAGCAGGACACUGGGAAGUUGAAGGGCUAUCAUUACAUGUCACAUACAGUUGGUUACAGUGCAGUGGUUCACCGCAUGCCUUCUAUUUAGAACCUCCUGACCCCUGACCCCUGCUCACCCUACUGUUUGCCCACAGAGGGUGAAGGUUGAUGGGGUGUGUGAGGGGGGUGUGUCCUCUGCCCCGGGCGCCAGUCCUGUUGAUGGAGGUGGAGGCAGUGAGAGAGACAUGCUUUGCCCUGCUAGGACCUGUGAGGGGGACAGAGGAGGUGGAGGGGUGCAAGCUACCAGGACCUAUGACUCCAUGAUGUCACACAACCCUAACUACCUGCUCAGCCAGCCCCUAGACCAUCCCCCAUCAGAGACCUAGGGUUGCUACGGACGUUGACAAGCUGUGGCAGGGCAGUGUAGCAGAGUUGACCCCCGUGCUCUCAUGCCCUUCUGGCCCUUCCUCCAAACGGAAGUGUACUGACUCCUCCCACCUCCACGUCAGGGUUCCGAUGCCCCUCCCACUCCGCAGGUCUGAGUCCUUCCCCCACAAACUACUAUUGGCCCACUGGACUGAUUGGGGCGGGGCAGACCGCUGCACCCUCAGCCCCUACAUGCUCCGCCUCUCAGGGGCUGGCUUUGCCUACUACACACCGGGGCCAGAGACCUUUGUGUGACACACACUCACACACACGCAGGCUAAUGUGUGUACACACAAACCGAUGUGUUCACAAAAGAUGUGCACUCACACAGAGACCAAUGUGAUCUAAAUUUACAGCUUACCAUGGAUGUGGAAGGAUUUGUAUUCCACUCAUAAACAAUGCAAACACACACACACACACACACAUUUGCAAAAUAAUUCACACAUACUGAAAAACAUAAAACAUCUUCACACAAUUCACCAUGUGCAUAGUCAGCCAUUCAGAUACACCCCUCCCCCAAUCUGCCUCCCACCGGUCCUGUCCAUCCCAUUUCAGUGUGGUCCUGAUCCCAGUCCAGUCCAUUCCAUUUCAGUGUGGUCCUGAUCCCAGUCCUGUCCAUCCCAUUUCAGUGUGGUCCUGAUCCCAGUCCAGUCCAUUCCAUUUCAGUGUGGUCCUGAUCCCAGUCCUGUCCAUCCCAUUUCAGUGUGGUCCUGAUCCCAGUCCUGUCCAUUCCAUUUCAGUGUGGUCCUGAUCCCAGUCCUGUCCAUCCCAUUUCAGUGUGGUCCUGAUCCCAGUCCAGUCCAUUCCAUUUCAGUGUGGUCCUGAUCCCAGUCCUGUCCAUUCCAUUUCAGUGUGGUCCUGAUCCCAGUCCUGUCCAUCCCAUUUCAGUGUGGUCCUGAUCCCAGUCCUGUCCAUUCCAUUUCAGUGUGGUCCUGAUCCCAGUCCAGUCCAUCCCAUUUCAGUGUGGUCCUGAUGCCAGUCCUGUCCAUUCCAUUUCAGUGUGGUCCUGAUCCCAGUCCUGUCCAUCCCAUUUCAGUGUGGUCCUGAUCCCAGUCCAGUCCAUUCCAUUUCAGUGUGGUCCUGAUCCCAGUCCUGUCCAUUCCAUUUCAGUGUGGUCCUGAUCCCAGUCCUGUCCAUUCCAUUUCAGUGUGGUCCUGAUCCCAGUCCUGUCCAUUCCAUUUCAGUGUGGUCCUGAUCCCAGUCCAGUCCAUCCCAUUUCAGAGUGGUCCUGAUCCCAGUCCUGUCCAUUCCAUUUCAGUGUGGUCCUGAUCCCAGUCCUGUCCAUUCCAUUUCAGUGUGGUCCUGAUCCCAGUCCAGUCCACACCUCUACUCUGUUCUGCUACUCUAUAAUCCAUGUUAAAAUACUUGAAUCCAACAUUGACACCAGUGGUGUUAAACGCUGAACACACGGAGGUGUUCAGUGUGUGAAUGUGCGUCCCUUCUACACUAAAGAAUUGUGUAUGAAAAGGACCAGACUUUUCUGUUUCUAUUUUAUUAACUGUCUCUGUCUUCUUCUUUUUCUCUGUCUCUCAAAUAUACUCAUUUUGUUGAAAUAACAGGAGUUGCUUCGCAAAAUGUUCUGGGGAGAAAGACAUCUGUUAUUCACUGUGUGUGUGUGUGUGUGUGUGUGUGUGUGUGUGUGUGUGUGUGUGUGUGUGUGUGUGUGUGUGUGUGUGUGUGUGUGUGUGUGUGUGUGUGUGUGUACAUACAGCUGAAGUCAGAAGUUUACAUACACUUAGCUUGGAGUCAAUAAAACUAUUUUUCAACCACUCCACAAAUUUCUUGUUAACAAACUAUAGUUUUGGCAAGUUGGUUAGGACAUCUACUUUGUGCAUGACACAAGUCAUUUUUCCAACAAUUGUUUACAGACAGAUUAUUUCACUUAUAAUUCACUGUAUCACAAUUCCAGUGGGUUAGAAGUUUUUAUACACUAAGUUGACUGUGCCUUUAAACAGCUUGGAAAAUUCCAGAAAAUGAUGUCAUGGCUUUAGAAGCUUCUGAUAGGCUAAUUGACAUAAUUUGAGUCAAUUGGAGGUGUGACUGUGGAUGUAUUUCAAGGCUUACCUUCAAACUCAGUGCCUCUUUGCUUGACAUCAUGGGAAAAUCAAAAGAAAUCAGCCAAGACCUCGGAAAAAAAUUGUAGACCUCCACAAGUCUGGUUCAUCCUUGGGAGCAAUUUCCAAAUCCCUGAAGGUACCACAUUCAUCUGUAAAAACAAUAGUACGCAAGUAUAAACACCAUGUAACCACGUAGCCAUCAUACCGCUCAGGAAGGAGACGCCUUCUGUCUCCUAGACAUGAACGUACUUUGGUGCGAAAAGUGCAAAUCAAUCCCAGAACAACAGCAAAGGACCUUGUGAAGAUGCUGGAGGAAACAGGUACAAAGUAUCUAUAUCCAUAGUAAAACGAGUCCUAUAUCGGUAUAACCUGAAGGGCCGCUCAGCAAGGAAGAAGCCACUGCUCCAAAACCGUCAUAAAAAAGCCAGAUUACGGUUUGCAACUGCACAUGGGGACAAAGAUCGUACUAUUUUGAGAAAUGUUCUCUGGUCUGAUGAAACAAAAAUGUAACUGUUUGGCCAUAAUGACCAUUGUUAUGUUUGGAGGAAAAAGGGAGAUGCUUGCAAGCCGAAGAACACCAUCCCAACCGUGAAGCACGGGGGUGGCAGCAUCACGUUGUGGGGGUGCUUUGCUGCAGGAGGGACUGGUGCACUUCACAAAAUAGAUGGAAUCAUGAGGUAGGAAAAUUAUGUGGAUAUAUUAAAGCAGCAUCUCAAGACAUCUGUCAGGAAGUUAAAGCUUGGUCGCAAAUGUGUCUUCCAAGUGGACAAUGACCCCAAGCAUACUUCCACAGUUGUGGCAAAAUAGCUUAAGGACAACAAAGUCAAGGUAUUUUAGUGGCCAUCACAAAGCCCUGACCUCAAUCCCAUAGAACAUUUCUGAGCAGAACUGAAACAGCGUGUGUGAGCAAGGAGGCCUACAAACCUGAUUCAGUUACACCUGCUCUGUCAGGAGGAAUGGGCCAAAAUUCACACAACUUAUUGUGGGAAGCUUGUGGAAGGCUACCCAAAACGUUUGACCCAAAUUAAACAAUUUAAAAGCAAUGCUACCAAAUAAUAAUUGAGUGUAUGUAAUCUUCUGACACACUGGGAAUGUGAUGAAAGAAAUAAAAGCUGAAAUUAAUCAUUUUCUCUACUAUUAUUCUGACAUUUCACAUUCUUAAAAUAAAGUGGUGAUCCUAACUAAUUAACUAAUUUUUACUAGGACUAAAUGUCAGGAAUUGUGAAAAACUGAGUUUAAAUGUAUUUGGCUAAGUUGUAUGUAAACUUCCGUCUUCAACUUUAUAUACAAUGUGGCCAUACACCGUAACAGCACUCUGUUUGGGUCAGACCUAUGAGUCAGACCGAUAUCUAUGCCCUGUACACAGACUGAUAGGGCUCCUUCAUGGAUGUUUUAAUGGCUCAUUGUUCAGUGAUGCUUGCAUUAUGCUAUGUUGUCUAAAGACCGUGUUUGUUCCGUUAUUUAAAGGUUCUUGUCCGUACUCUAGAAUGGUAUAUCUUUAUCGCACCAGGUUAUGGCUUUUCAUAUCUGUUUGAUUAUGCACUGAGAUAUUUUACGUGGUAUAUAUUAUGAAUGCAGGUUGUUUACCAUGUAUGGAUGUAACUUAAACUAAUGGAUAUAUGUAUUGGGGGGGCAGUGGUAGGGGUUUGGGAAAUACAUUUUUAAAAAUGAAUGCAAAGACUUGAAUCAAACAGCGCAGUCACAAUCAAAUCCAUCUUUCUAGAAUGUCAUAUGAAUGAUAUGAUUGGUUCGCCACAUGCUCUAUGUAAAUGAUUGUAGAUGAUGUUGAAUUCAUCUAUUUUCCACGUUUCUAACAUGUAAAAGUCUGAGGUGAAACAUCUGCCUUUUUCCAAGCUCAUCUGUGGUUAUAGUGACAUCUGUGGUUAUAGUGACAUCUGUGGUGUUAGUGACAUCUGUGGUGUUAGUGACAUCUGUGGUGUUAGUGACAUCUGUGGUUAAUGACAUCUGUGGUGUUAGUGACAUCUGUGGUGUUAGUGACAUCUGUGGUGUUAGUGACAGCUGUGGUGUUAAUGACAUCUGUGGUGUUAAUGACAUCUGUGGUGUUAGUGACAUCUGUGGUGUUAAUGACAUCUGUGGUGUUAGUGACAUCUGUGGUGUUAGUGACAUCUGUGGUGUUAGUGACAUCUGUGGUGUUAGUGACAUCUGUGGUGUUAGUGACAUCUGUGGUGUUAGUGACAUCUGUGGUGUUAGUGACAGCUGUGGUGUUAAUGACAUCUGUGGUGUUAGUGACAUCUGUGGUGUUUAGUGACAUCUGUGGUGUUUAGUGACAUCUGUGGUGUUAAUGACAUAUGUGGUGUUUAGUGACAUCUGUGGUGUUAGUGACAUCUGUGGUGUUAGUGAGAGACUCUGAAAGUCACUGGAUUCAUAAGCAUAUUUGUAUGUUCAUUGGUCUGCUGAGUGCUGACACAUACAACAAAUAUCUCUAUACAGUAGACAUUGUGUCUCGUGUUGUCUUUGCAACAGGGCACCACUCUGUCGGUUUUGGGGGGUUUAAAGUUCAGUGUUCAGGUUUUAUGUUUGUUUAUGACUAGACCCAUUUGGUUGAGCUUACUGACAUGGAUUCUAAGGGGUUAUCAUGAAUGUUAUAUAUCAGACCAAUGGAGGCUGCUGAGGGGAGGAUGGCUCGUAAUAAUGGCUGGAAUUGAGUGAAAGGAAUGGUACCAAAAAAAUGUGCUUGAUACUAUUCCAUUUACUCCGUUCCAGACAUUAUGAGCCAUCCUCCCAUCAGCAGCCUCCAUUGUAUCAGACCCACUGUAAAGAGGACUUCAUGAUGAUUUGACACAGUAACACAAACAGUGAAAACUCUCCCCAUAAGCAGCAGUCUGAAUUUGUCCCAGCUACACUGUAUUUAAUGACAAAAACAUCAGACAAUGAAUGCAUGACUUCCAACGGACAUGACAUAGGCUGUGUUUUCACAGCCAGCCCAAUUCUGAUCAUUUUUCCACAAAUUGGUCUUUUGACCAAUCACAUCAGAUCUUUUCACAUCAGAUCUGAUGUGAUUGGUCAAAAGACCAAUUCGUGGGAAAAUUAUCAGAAUUGGGCUGGUGUUUUGAUGUUUUUGUCAUUACAAAAGGCUGGUCUCAAUACAGUGUAGCUGGGCCAAAUUCAGACUGCUGCUUAUGGGGAGAGUUUUCACUGUUUGUGUUACUGUGUCAAAUCAUUGGAUGGGAGGUCAAAUCAUGUCACAUUAUUCUGAUUCUGAUUCUGAUUAUUGUUAUCUUAUCAAUUUGAUUGAAAAUACACAUUAUUUUUGUUGAUUUUUCUUUUGCUAGUGUUUGAUCCAGGGGAGAAGACUUUAUUUCAACUCUUAUGUAUUUAUCAUUUUGCUUUUGGUUUUUGUAACAACCCAAAUGAAAAGGUAUUUCCACAGAAUAAACCCUCUGAAGACGUUUAGAUGAUAGUGACUCCCACUUUCUGCUACUGUAAGUGACCUGAUUCAUGUAAGUGACCUGACCAUGAGUAGGCUAGUCACCCACAGAGAUUAUAUUUGUAUGUAGUCACCCACAGAGAUUAUAUUUGUAUGUAGUCACCCACAGAGAUUAUAUUUGUAUGUAGUCACCCACAGAGAUUAUAUUUGUAUGUAGUCACCCACAGAGAUUAUAUUUCUAUGUAGUCACCCACAGAGAUUAUAUUUCUAUGUAGUUACCCACAGAGAUUAUAUUUCUAUGUAGUCACCCACAGAGAUUAUAUUUGUAUGUAGUCACCCACAGAGAUUAUAUUUGUAUGUAGUCACCCACAGAGAUUAUAUUUGUAUGUAGUCACCCACAGAGAUUAUAUUUCUAUGUAGUCACCCACAGAGAUUAUAUUUCUAUGUAGUCACCCACAGAGAUUAUAUUUGUAUGUAGUCACCCACAGAGAUUAUAUUUGUAUGUAGUCACCCACAGAGAUUAUAUUUCUAUGUAGUCACCCACAGAGAUUAUAUUUCUAUGUAGUUACCCACAGAGAUUAUAUUUCUAUGUAGUUACCCACAGAGAUUAUAUUUCUAUGUAGUCACCCACAGAGAUUAUAUUUGUAUGUAGUCACCAACAGAGAUUAUAUUUCUAUGUAGUUACCCACAGAGAUUAUAAUUCUAUGUAGUCACCCACAGAGAUUAUAUUUCUAUGUAGUUACCCACAGAGAUUAUAUUUCUAUGUAGUUACCCACAGAGAUUAUAUUUCUAUGUAGUCACCCACAGAGAUUAUAUUUCUAUGUAGUCACCCACAGAGAUUAUAUUUCUAUGUAGUCACCCACAGAGAUUAUAAUUCUAUGUAGUCACCCACAGAGAUUAUAUUUGUAUGUAGUCACCAACAGAGAUUAUAAUUCUAUGUAGUCACCCACAGAGAUUAUAAUUCUAUGUAGUCACCCACAGAGAUUAUAUUUCUAUGUAGUCACCCACAGAGAUUAUAUUUCUAUGUAGUCACCAACAGAGAUUAUAAUUCUAUGUAGUCACCCACAGAGAUUAUAUUUCUAUGUAGUCACCAACAGAGAUUAUAAUUCUAUGUAGUCACCCACAGAGAUUAUAAUUCUAUGUAGUCACCCACAGAGAUUAUAUUUCUAUGUAGUCACCCACAGAGAUUAUAUUUCUAUGUAGUCUCCCAUCACUCGUCUCAUAAAAUAUUUUGUGUUACAUUUUUGUUUUCAAGAUCACAGUGAGAGAAUAAGUGACCAAAUACUUGAUUAGUCAAUGAAUAUUGAAUAUGAAUAUAUUAUUAGUCAAUGAAUACUGUCUCUGUCUCUCAUUGGUUAAACACACCAGCCCUGUGACUGUCGCUGACCAUAAUGUCCACUUCUUUUAUAAACACAUUAUCAGCACAGCUCCAAGUGCUCUCACCAUACUGCUUCUGAACUUGUGAUACUCUCACAAAUGAAAUGUAACGUCAACUACUAUACUGUGCUCUCUAAAGGUAAACAGUAUAUGCUGUAUCACAUAGAAACCUACAGUACUGUUUGUAUUCAUGAGCCAUUUUCAAGGUUGUUUUUCUACAAAGAUUUUAAAAUAUGUUCAUCUGUUGACAUUUUGCCUGCCUAUCUGUAGCGAAUGAGGGGAAAGCUCUGUGAUGUCAUUCUGCUUGUAAUAAAGAAAUGAUAAAACUCA
Molecule: long non-coding RNA, 8283 nt
Organism: Oncorhynchus tshawytscha (Chinook salmon)
Lineage: Eukaryota; Metazoa; Chordata; Actinopteri; Salmoniformes; Salmonidae
Source: Ensembl